This 714-nucleotide ribosomal RNA is filed under the name Salmonella enterica. RNAcentral's name for it is "bacterial LSU rRNA". It matches the Rfam family "Bacterial large subunit ribosomal RNA", at positions 1918 to 2631 of the family's 2925-position model. Lineage: Bacteria; Pseudomonadati; Pseudomonadota; Gammaproteobacteria; Enterobacterales; Enterobacteriaceae. The record is from RNAcentral. RNAcentral also lists the same sequence under 2 other names.
CCCCGGUAAACGGCGGCCGUAACUAUAACGGUCCUAAGGUAGCGAAAUUCCUUGUCGGGUAAGUUCCGACCUGCACGAAUGGCGUAAUGAUGGCCAGGCUGUCUCCACCCGAGACUCAGUGAAAUUGAACUCGCUGUGAAGAUGCAGUGUACCCGCGGCAAGACGGAAAGACCCCGUGAACCUUUACUAUAGCUUGACACUGAACAUUGAGCCUUGAUGUGUAGGAUAGGUGGGAGGCUUUGAAGUGUGGACGCCAGUCUGCAUGGAGCCGACCUUGAAAUACCACCCUUUAAUGUUUGAUGUUCUAACGUGGACCCGUAAUCCGGGUUGCGGACAGUGUCUGGUGGGUAGUUUGACUGGGGCGGUCUCCUCCUAAAGAGUAACGGAGGAGCACGAAGGUUGGCUAAUCCUGGUCGGACAUCAGGAGGUUAGUGCAAUGGCAUAAGCCAGCUUGACUGCGAGCGUGACGGCGCGAGCAGGUGCGAAAGCAGGUCAUAGUGAUCCGGUGGUUCUGAAUGGAAGGGCCAUCGCUCAACGGAUAAAAGGUACUCCGGGGAUAACAGGCUGAUACCGCCCAAGAGUUCAUAUCGACGGCGGUGUUUGGCACCUCGAUGUCGGCUCAUCACAUCCUGGGGCUGAAGUAGGUCCCAAGGGUAUGGCUGUUCGCCAUUUAAAGUGGUACGCGAGCUGGGUUUAGAACGUCGUGAGACAGUU